RNAcentral lists this ribosomal RNA (449 nucleotides) under uncultured bacterium. RNAcentral's name for it is "partial 16S ribosomal RNA". It matches the Rfam family "Bacterial small subunit ribosomal RNA", at positions 29 to 523 of the family's 1533-position model. The record is from RNAcentral.
AACGAACGCUGGCGGCAUGCCUAACACAUGCAAGUCGAACGAGAUCUUCGGGUCUAGUGGCGCACGGGUGCGUAACGCGUGGGAAUCUGCCCUUUGGUUCGGAAUAACAGUUGGAAACGACUGCUAAUACCGGAUGAUGACGAAAGUCCAAAGAUUUAUCGCCAGAGGAUGAGCCCGCGUAGGAUUAGCUAGUUGGUGUGGUAAAGGCGCACCAAGGCGACGAUCCUUAGCUGGUCUGAGAGGAUGAUCAGCCACACUGGGACUGAGACACGGCCCAGACUCCUACGGGAGGCAGCAGUGGGGAAUAUUGGACAAUGGGCGAAAGCUUGAUCCAGCAAUGCCGCGUGAGUGAUGAAGGCCUUAGGGUUGUAAAGCUCUUUUACCCGGGAUGAUAACGACAGUACCGGGAGAAUAAGCUCCGGCUAACUCCGUGCCAGCAGCCGCAGUAA